Molecule: ribosomal RNA, 604 nt
Filed under: Mastigias papua
Lineage: Eukaryota; Metazoa; Cnidaria; Scyphozoa; Rhizostomeae; Mastigiidae
Description: partial 16S large subunit ribosomal RNA
Rfam family: Bacterial large subunit ribosomal RNA
Source: RNAcentral
CUUACAACUACCUUUGCAAGGUGAAACCUGCUCAAUGGCUAUAAAUAAAAAAUAAUAGUAGUUAAAUAGCCGCGGUAACUCUGACCGUGAUAAAGUAGCAUAAUCACUCGUCAUUUAAUUGGUGACUAGAAUGAAUGGUUAAACGAAUCUCCAACUGUCUCAAUAAUUAAGUUAAUGAAGUUAAAGUAAUAGUGAAGAUACUAUUUAAUAAUUGUAAGACGAAAAGACCCUAUUGAGCUUUACUAAAAGCUUAAAAAUAUCAAACACACAAUAAUAUUAUACCAAAAAAAAUCUUUUAAGCGGAUUAGUUUGGUUGGGGCGACCACCUCUAAAAAAGUAUCAGAGGUAAUCUAAAGGUUAUUUUUAAAUAAAAAAAAGCCUAACUGUAUAUUCACUCAUUAAUCAGUUACUAACAGUAGGAUAUAAUGACCCGCUAAUUUUCUUUUAUUAAUUUUAGCGAACAUGAAAAAAGUUACCGUAGGGAUAACAGGGUAAUAUUUCUGAAGAGUUCUCAUCGAUAGAAAUGUUUGCCACCUCGAUGUUGAAUUGCGAUAACCUAAAGGUGCAGCAGCUUUAAAGGGUUGGUCUGUUCGACCAUUAAAAU